This 468-nucleotide ribosomal RNA is filed under the name uncultured bacterium. RNAcentral describes it as "partial 16S ribosomal RNA". It matches the Rfam family "Bacterial small subunit ribosomal RNA", at positions 28 to 507 of the family's 1533-position model. The record is from RNAcentral.
GACGAACGCUGGCGGCGUGCUUAACACAUGCAAGUCGAACGGAAAGGCCCUGCUUUUGUGGGGUGCUCGAGUGGCGAACGGGUGAGUAACACGUGAGUAACCUGCCCUUGACUUUGGGAUAACUUCAGGAAACUGGGGCUAAUACCGGAUAGGAGCUCCUGCUGCAUGGUGGGGGUUGGAAAGUUUCGGCGGUUGGGGAUGGACUCGCGGCUUAUCAGCUUGUUGGUGGGGUAGUGGCUUACCAAGGCUUUGACGGGUAGCCGGCCUGAGAGGGUGACCGGCCACAUGGGGACGGAGAUACGGCCCAGACGCCGACGGGAGGCAGCAGUGGGGAAGAUGGCACAAGGGGCGGAAGCCGGAUGCAGCAACGCCGCGUGCGGGAUGACGGCCUGCGGGUUGUAAACCGCGUGCGCCUGUGACGAAGCGUGAGUGACGGGAAGGGGGAAAGAAGCACCGGCUAACUACGUG